UACGUAGGUGGCAAGCGUUGUCCGGAUUUACUGGGCGUAAAGAGCGCGCAGGCGGUCGUUCAAGUCGCGUGUGAAAGCCCCCCGGCUCAACUGGGGAGGGUCACGCGAUACUGAUCGACUCGAAGGCAGGAGAGGGUAGUGGAAUUCCCGGUGUAGUGGUGAAAUGCGUAGAUAUCGGGAGGAACACCGGUGGCGAAGGCGGCCACCUGGACGGUAACUGACGCUGAGACGCGAAAGCGUGGGGAGCAAACAGG
Molecule: ribosomal RNA, 254 nt
Filed under: uncultured bacterium
Lineage: Bacteria
Description: partial 16S ribosomal RNA
Rfam family: Bacterial small subunit ribosomal RNA
Source: RNAcentral